UACAGAGGGUGCUAGCGUUGUUCGGAAUCAUUGGGCGUAAAGGGCGUGUAGGCGGUUUGUUAAGUCAUGUGUGAAAUCCCUCGGCUCAACCGGGGAACGACGCAUGAAACUGGCAAGCUAGAGUAUGGUAGAGGGUGGUGGAAUUUCCUGUGUAGCGGUGAAAUGCGUAGAUAUAGGAAGGAACACCAGUGGCGAAGGCGACCACCUGGACUGAUACUGACACUGAGGUGCGAAAGCGUGGGGAGCAAACAGG
This 253-nucleotide ribosomal RNA is filed under the name uncultured bacterium. RNAcentral describes it as "partial 16S ribosomal RNA". It matches the Rfam family "Bacterial small subunit ribosomal RNA", at positions 524 to 776 of the family's 1533-position model. The record is from RNAcentral.